UACGUGGGGUGUAAGCGUUAAUCGGAUUCAUUGGGCGUAAAGGGCGCGUAGGCGGGGAUGAAAGUCAGAUGUGAAAUCCCGGAGCUCAACUCCGGAACGGCAUCUGAAACUUCAUCUCUAGAGGGUAGGGGGAGAAAAGGGAAUUCCACGUGUAGCGGUGAAAUGCGUAGAUAUGUGGAAGAACACCGGUGGCGAAGGCGCUUUUCUAACUUACUCCUGACGCUGAGGCGCGAAAGCAAGGGGAGCAAAC
Molecule: ribosomal RNA, 250 nt
Filed under: uncultured bacterium
Lineage: Bacteria
Description: partial 16S ribosomal RNA
Rfam family: Bacterial small subunit ribosomal RNA
Source: RNAcentral